CUUUUAAUCCCUUUGGCAGCCUGGUAUUCACAACCUGAAAUCAAGCCUUAAACUUGCUUAAACCCAUGGCCCCAAAAAGGCAGCGGCUGUAAAGGUCUUUGUUGCUGUUGCUGCCAUAUUAAUGACCCAGCUUGGGGCGCUGCCGCCGCCGCCGCCGGCCGCUUCUUCCAAAGAAAACAAAUCAAACAUUCAGGAACACAUUACAGAACAUGAAGAGGGAACCAAGGAUUCUGGAGAGAUGAACAUCAAAUUCCCAGAGACCUCAAAUGUUCUGUUUGGAGAAACCAACUUGGAAACAAACCUAUGUUAAACUCUAUGCGACCAGAGAUUGGCCGUGUCUUCCUCUGUCACUUCUGGCAUAUACCAUGAACUAAGAACAUUUUUUUGAUGGUUGAUUAUUGGCCUAUGGGAAGGAGGAAGAAGGGAAAGGAGAAGGUCAAGGGAUAUUUUGGAAAUUUUCUAAUGUUUCUUAAAUGAGUAGGAUAUUUAAAAAAAAUAAAUGGUGUGAGUUUAUGGAAUCA
This 521-nucleotide long non-coding RNA is filed under the name Vulpes vulpes (red fox). RNAcentral's name for it is "lncRNA (ENSVVUG00000018077.1)". Lineage: Eukaryota; Metazoa; Chordata; Mammalia; Carnivora; Canidae. The record is from RNAcentral.